Long non-coding RNA from Vespa crabro (European hornet), 3972 nucleotides. RefSeq lists it as uncharacterized. NCBI's taxonomy places the organism in Eukaryota, Metazoa, Arthropoda, Insecta, Hymenoptera, Vespidae. The record is from RefSeq and is a predicted model, not a curated record. The transcript is spliced from 2 exons.
UCUACGUUUUCAUACGUUUCACGUUCUAAUCUCUCUCUCUCUCUCUCUCUCUCUCUCUCUCUCUCUCUCUCUCUCUCUCUUUCUCUCCCUCUCCCCUCCUCUUUCUGAUCUCUCUGUCUUUCUUUUGUUUAUCACACUACCUGAAUUUUCGCCCUCCUUCACAGAGAAGCGGACCGAGAAAGGGGGAACCGUUUCAAGGAACGAUGCAUUUUGGAUAAAAUUAGCACACUUGCAUCGCCGUAUGUAUACCCUUCAUGUUUCUAAGUCAACCAUCUACCCUGGUAGAGAAUUGGAUUCAUAAAAGAGCCUAAUAAGAACGAGUCUCUUUUGGAAUCGUGAGAAUAAGAUAGGCUAACCAGGCAGGCGCAAACUCAUUCGUUCAUUAGUUGGAUGAUAUAACGAUGACGUAGGAGGUAUCGUGACAAGAGGAGUUGAAAGUAAAUAGUAUACGUGCAUUGGAUAGAAAAAGUUGAAAUUGAUUCUUCUUCACGUACGGUACUUCCUCUUUUUUUCUUUCUUUAAGUUUAACUUCCGCCGGGAGAUCUACGGACGAUGGAUAUUGAGAAAAUGAUAAUAAAGAACAUACAUCGAUCUCAGCGCUACGAGAGUGGAAUGGGAAAGCUUUGCUUUACGUACAUAAAGGAGGUGGUGGUAAACAGAAGUGGAAGAGGUAUUAGCGAAGAGAGGUGAUGGUCAAAAGGAGGGAAGGGGAGAUUUUGCCUUCCAGGAAAAUGCCCAUGACCGUCUAGGCUUACCAAGCAAUGGUAGAGUCAUUAAGGUAAAAGUUGUCCCUAUUAUUAAGUUGGUAGGUCAAUGGAAUCCGUAUUGUCUUUCUAUUGAUGUCACCGUCAUUUUUUCGUCUUACCGUUAGGUUUACCAAUUUUACGAUGGUACGUAAGACGAGUUUCUUUCGUUAUUUCAUUCUCUUUACAAUAGAGAGGUAACCUUUAGUCGGUGGAAAUUGCGGGACUUCUUGGAAAUCAGGAUACCAGAGGAAGAGAGGGAGGGAGGGAGGGAGGGAGGGGGUGGAGAGAGAGAGAGAGAGAUCACGAAAUGCUCGCAUGAAACACGGAUUUCUCGGCGUAUGCGCCGCGAAAUGAGAUCAUGUUGUUUUUGUGGCAUGGAGUCGACGGUUAAUACGUUUAGCUACGCGUCCGCGCGGUUGCCAUGCUUCUCUACGUCUUGCGCGUAGGCCAACUCGCGAGGCGAUGACGCAAGCUGCGCGUUGGCACGUAUACAUACUUCUUCGACGAAAGAGAGAAGCGACAAGAGGACACGACGGACGAACGAACGAACGGAGCUGGCUGGCUAGCUAGCUAGCUAGCUAGCGAUCGACGUGACUUGGAAUGGACGGAGAGAAGAGAGAGGGAGGUAGAGGUAGGUAAUUCCCAACAGAAAAGUAGCCUUGUCGUCUUCCAAGAAUUUUGACGGUUAGAUCGGAGUCAGGCUCUCCGAAGGCUUCCGGCCUUCCGAUCGACGGCCAUGAGAGAGAGGAACACACCUGCUUCGCCGUUCGAUCCGACCUUCGUACCGCAACGACUCAUCGUUUUGGCAUUCGGCGAUCGGAUUCUCGAGCGGUGAUUACGAUCUUUUCACGCGCCGCGGAGAAUUUCAUCAUCAUUUCGGAUAAUCGGAUAGAUAUCGCGGAAAGAAUGCUUUCUUAUUUUUUACUUGAUGCAUUUUUCGUUCUCAUGUAAAGUGUAAUCUAAAUCCUGUUAAAUAAUAGAGUUGUUGAACGAAGAGAAAGGAUAGAUAGAGAAAGGAAGGAGAUAGAGAGCGAGAGAGAAAGAGUAGAUUGAUGCGACGGACGUGGCGCAGCAGCAACGGCAGCGACAGCAGCAACAGCAGCAGCAGCAGCAGCAGCAGCAGCAGCAGCUAAGUCAGACCGGCAGUCGCCUAGCGCGCCACGACGGCUGGCACGGCUCGUCGGAUUUGUCCUUGGGAUCGAGAAGGUAGGCACAGCCCAAGGAAAGAGAUGUGGCAACGUGGCAGGCAGCAGGCAGAGCUCCCCCUCCUUUGUCCGUCGUCGGCCGGUCUUGCCAGACAGGGUGUCGCCAGCUCGGUCGGCCCGGUCGGCCGGGUUUGUGCGAGGGAGAGAGGAGAUCGACGGGUGAAAGGAGGAAAGGGGCAGGGGUACAGGCUGUGGCAGCAGGAGGUGGAGGAGGAGGGGGGGGUUCCGGUAUGUGUGCUGCUAGUCGCGGGAAGGGCAAAGCGAAUCGUGCUCGUAGAGCGGAGAAGAGAGUCCGGGGAUGGAUGAGAAGGAAAGAGAGAGAGAGGGAGAGAGAGAACUCCGCUCUCUGCGUAUCGUAGGAUCGGUCGUGGACCUACAUUCACGCGGGUAGCCAUGUUUGAAAACUCGCGUCCCGCUGGAAUGUGCCUAAGGGGGCCCCUACCCCUCUCUCUUUUUCCUUCCUUCGCCAUUCUACGGUCCCGUCGACGAUCUUCCGAUGCCUUUUGCUUUCCCCUCCAUACAAGAGUUGGCGCCCCAAAUGGUCGCGUAACCAGAGACGUGCCUCUGGCCUGCCCUGGUCGCGCCAGACUUCUCGGCGCCCAAAUGAUGUACGCCGACCAUUCCCUCUCUUUCUCUCUCUCUCUCUCUCUCUCUCUCUUUUUCUCUUUUUCUUUCUUCCUCCUACUCAUUCUAUUCGUCUCGUUCCCAUUGCUUUCCUUUUUCUUCCAGCAUACGUACACAUAUACUUAUACACCUUCCAAUGAAGUCCAAAGAACCGAACACACAUUGUUUAACUUUUUGGCACCUUCAAUACGGGAAUCUUCUUUUAUAGUACCAAAGUCGAAGUCCUUUGAAAGAGAACACGUUGGUGUUUCGGCUGUCCCGUAACACAUUGUACGAGAAAGGACAGAGGGUACAUAGUCAAGGUUCGUAAAAGUUCUUGAGAAGACGAGACCGAUUGGCCGUCAGAAAGAGACGUACCGCUUUGUUAACAUAAGAGAGGACGAUGGCGGUGAUGAAUUGAAUUUUGUCUCAGAUCGCAGUUCUUUCUGAAUUUUACGACAGGCUUCUGUGCUUACUCGUUUGUCUGCUUUUGCAUUUCUGGUUUCAGUUGAAAUGAAUUUUCUAACGAAGUCUCGAACUUUGCGUUGCUCUUUGCGCCGGACUUUGAAAAGACUCCGCUAUCAGCUCAUACGAGACUUCUUAUCUCAAGUUUCCUUUGAAGAAAAAAAACAAAAGAAAAAAAAAAAAAAACAAAAAAAAAUCAUUGCUCGAGAAACGAUGAGUCUGUCCUUCGUAACCGCACGUACCGUACAGUUAUUGUACGUAUGUCGUUCGGUAGAUUACAUCAGUAGCUUGUUAGCUCGAUAACUAGUUAAUAAAACUAAUAAGAGUAAUAAUAAUCCAUUCGUUCAAUGAAGAGAAAGAGAGAAAGAGAAAGAGUCAAUGUUCUCGUUAACGACAUGGUAGAUCGUUCGAAUGUUCUCCUUAAAUGUUUCCAUUUACUUAUCCAAUAAUUAGAUAUGAUAGUUGCGAAAGAAGAUAAUACGCAUCGUACGCGUAUUUUCUUUUCGAUAGGGUGAAAAGUGAGUUUUUGCUUGGCUGCUCUUUCAAAUCGCAAACUCGAGUUUAUACUUUAGUUUAUUUAUGUGCACGCCGCCGACUGGGAGAGCGCCACACGUGCAACCACGUACACAUAUGCGUCUCGCAUAUUCCGUUGUGUUCGUACGUUUAUCGGUGUGGCGCGUUUACAAUAUUCGUGCGUAGUAGUGCGUAUUUUCCCACACAUUCAUGAAUCAAGUAAGUAUGUAUGCGCGCGUAUGGUGUCGAACCUAAUCGCGCUUAUACCCAGGGACGCACGCACGCAUCGUUCAUAUUAUAUAUCUCUAACGAAAAUUUAUAUAUCGUGAUAUAAACAAGCUCAUAAUGAUAUAAUAAAUAAGCUACGUUAAAGGAAAUCUCGUCGUUUUAUAUGGAAAGAAUGAAAAGAGUUAGAGGGGAAGGAGGAGGAAAAAGAAAAA